CAUGAUCUUUUGUAGGUUUUACAAGAAAGCAUUUCAGAUGGCGUCAUUUCAAAAGAAGAAUUUGAAAAAGCUUUUUCUGAAGCCGAUUUUAAAGAGAAAUACUGCAAAUUGUUAUUCGGGGAAGGAGUUGGUCCUAAUCUUGCAUUCGAUGCUAUAGACAGAGACGGAAGUGGUAGUAUCGAUUUCAAUGAACUGAUCAAUUUUAUUGAAGUAACAGGAGUUUGCAUUCAAGAAAAAUACCUCGGGCUAAAACGCAAAGAAAUCAAUGGAUUUUUCAGUUUUUUGACAAACAUUUGUAAUGCCGUCUUAACCAAUGGUAGUAGGAUAUUUUCGCAGAGUUCUGACAUAAAAAGAACGAUAGGAAUUAGUUCAUGGUACAUCAAAACAAACGACUUUGCUUUGGAAGAUGAAGACAAAGACUUCUUAAUAGAUCAAGGAAAAAGGUCUACUCUUAAAUACCUGCAGCAUUUUAUUUGUGACAAUAACCUGGAAAAAGUAUCUGAAGAGGUAAUUAACUCCAGGGAUAUUCCGAGUAACCCAAGUAUAACAGAUCUAGAUGCACAGCUAGAAUCGAUUGCAAAUAUGUAGUACAUUUUACUCUUAGUAUUCGAUAGUAUCUAUCCAUGUAGUAUUUAUACAGUAUCACCUGUAUUUUAGAUAAAUAAUCAAGCUAAAAAAUUAGACAUUAUAUAUAUAAAAUGUUUGAUGGAUA
Long non-coding RNA from Mytilus trossulus (common blue mussel), 712 nucleotides. RefSeq lists it as uncharacterized. The transcript has 5 exons. NCBI's taxonomy places the organism in Eukaryota, Metazoa, Mollusca, Bivalvia, Mytilida, Mytilidae. The record is from RefSeq and is a predicted model, not a curated record.